Small nucleolar RNA from Bombina bombina (fire-bellied toad), 80 nucleotides. RefSeq annotates it as small nucleolar RNA SNORD74. Lineage: Eukaryota; Metazoa; Chordata; Amphibia; Anura; Bombinatoridae. The transcript has a single exon. The record is from RefSeq and is a predicted model, not a curated record.
UUGGCGUUCUGUUGAUGAAAAUUAUGUUGGUAGGGACAUCUGAGACUUCAUGAUGUUUACCAACGUUUCUGAAUAGGCGU